GAGGAAUGUAUAGCAAUAGCUACUUGCAUCAUUGUAGAUAUGAUGCAAGAUCGACUAUGUUGAAUAAAAUUCUAGGUAGAAUUAUGAUAAUGACAUUGUCUGCCUAUGUGUCUUGACCAAAUUACGUGCCAGCAGUCGCGGUAAUACGUAGAAGACUAGUGUUAUUCAUGUUUAAUCGGUUUAAAGGGUACCUAGACGGUAGAUCAAGCUUUCUAAUAAGUGAAAAGGACUAAUUUACUAGAGUUACUUAUGAGGGGGUAUUAAAGUACUGCUGGUGUAGAGAUGAAAUUCUGUCAUACCUCUUUUCAAAAGAAAAACCAUGGCACAGGUAUAGGCGAAGGCAUCCCCUUAUGUGAUAACUGACGUUGAGGGACGAAGGCUUUGUGUAGCGAACAGGAUUAGAUACCCUAGUAGUCGAAGCAGAAAAUGAUGAAUGUCAUAGAUUAGAUGUAUAAGUUUAUUCUAUAAAUGAAAGUGUAAGCAUUCCACCUCAUGAGUAAUUUGGCAACAUUGGAACUGAAAUCAUUAGACCGUUUCUGAAACCAG
This 546-nucleotide ribosomal RNA is filed under the name Xanthoparmelia mougeotii. RNAcentral's name for it is "SSU rRNA". It matches the Rfam family "Bacterial small subunit ribosomal RNA", at positions 356 to 929 of the family's 1533-position model. The record is from RNAcentral. Lineage: Eukaryota; Fungi; Ascomycota; Lecanoromycetes; Lecanorales; Parmeliaceae.